Molecule: ribosomal RNA, 371 nt
Filed under: Staphylococcus aureus
Lineage: Bacteria; Bacillati; Bacillota; Bacilli; Caryophanales; Staphylococcaceae
Description: bacterial SSU rRNA
Rfam family: Bacterial small subunit ribosomal RNA
Source: RNAcentral
GACAGGUGGUGCAUGGUUGUCGUCAGCUCGUGUCGUGAGAUGUUGGGUUAAGUCCCGCAACGAGCGCAACCCUUAAGCUUAGUUGCCAUCAUUAAGUUGGGCACUCUAAGUUGACUGCCGGUGACAAACCGGAGGAAGGUGGGGAUGACGUCAAAUCAUCAUGCCCCUUAUGAUUUGGGCUACACACGUGCUACAAUGGACAAUACAAAGGGCAGCGAAACCGCGAGGUCAAGCAAAUCCCAUAAAGUUGUUCUCAGUUCGGAUUGUAGUCUGCAACUCGACUACAUGAAGCUGGAAUCGCUAGUAAUCGUAGAUCAGCAUGCUACGGUGAAUACGUUCCCGGGUCUUGUACACACCGCCCGUCACACCAC